AUGCAAGUCGAAUGCCGAUUAUCGGCAUGGCAGACGGCUGAGUAAUACAUGGGAAUCUACCUCAAACUCGAGAAUAGCCCAUCGAAAGGUGGUGUAAUACUCGAUAGUUCCGUUUACGGUAAAGCUCCGGCGGUUUGAGAUGAGCCCAUGUCCUAUCAGGUUGUUGGUGGGGUAACUGCCUACCAAGCCUAUGACGGGUAGCUGGUUUGAGAGGAUGAUCAGCCAGACUGGGACUGCGAUACGGCCCAGACUCCUACGGGAGGCAGCAACUAGGAAUCAUGCGCAAUGGACGAAAGUCUGACGCUGCGACGUCGCGUGAGGGAUGAAGGUCUUCGGAUCGUAAACCUCUUUUAUCUGGGAACAAGUUCUGAGUGUACCAGAUGAAUAAGUGCCUGCCAACCACGUGCCAGAAGCAUCGGUAAUGCGUGGGGCACGAGCGUUAUCCGGAUUUACUGGGCGUAAAGAGAUGCGUAGGCGCCUUUUUAAGUCACUUGUAAAAUCUCCCCGCUCAACGGGGAAACUGCAAGUGAUACUGAAUUGGUUGAGUCAAGUAGAGGAGAGGGGAAUUCCUGGUGGAGCGGUUAAAUGCGUUGAUAUCAGGAGGAAUACCAAGUGCGAAGGCACCUCUCUGGACUUGUACUGACGCUAAGGCUCGAAAGUGUGGGGAGCAAAACGGAUUAGAUACCCGUGUAGUCCACACUGUAAACGAUCCCUGCUAGAUGU
This 723-nucleotide ribosomal RNA is filed under the name uncultured organism. RNAcentral's name for it is "bacterial SSU rRNA". It matches the Rfam family "Bacterial small subunit ribosomal RNA", at positions 55 to 823 of the family's 1533-position model. The record is from RNAcentral.